Molecule: long non-coding RNA, 817 nt
Organism: Pseudophryne corroboree (corroboree frog)
Lineage: Eukaryota; Metazoa; Chordata; Amphibia; Anura; Myobatrachidae
Exons: 3
Source: RefSeq, a predicted model, not a curated record
UCGGUUGAGGACGUGUGUGGGCGGAGCCAUAAACUCCAGGGCGGAGCGGUCUCCAGGGGACAAUUGAGUACUGGGUGUCAGGGAGGAGGAUGCGCAGAGGCAACGUGCUGUCCGGGAAGAUGAAAGUGGCGGCAGCUCUGCAGGGACAGCAUGGUGAGCAGAGGAAGCAAUGCCAGAACGGCGAGUGCAGCAGCGACACUCCCACCCUGCUCUGGACGAGGCAGAACGUUGUGUGUGCAGAAUACCGUUCUUCAGCUGCUUCCUGCUGUGUGCACUUGUACGACUUGUUGUUUCCCUAACCUGAAUGGACAGUUAAAAGUUAACAUAGACCUAAACAAGCUGGGACAGUGACAGCUGAGGUGAUUGUGGAUCCUCGCUUUGUGGACUCGCCAAAAUUGCUUGUGGUGGCAGGGACAACACUGCGGAGAUGCGCCGUUGGGGUGGUGAUGAUGGAGCAGCAGAUUCAGCCUCAAGACGACGUCUCUUGGUUGGCCUCCUAGGCACAGUCACCGAGCCCUGUGAUGGGCGCCUUAGUGGAGGGGGGUUUGCAGAAGAAGAACCUAUGUGAUAAGAUAAACAUUAACAUUUUGUGCUUCUAUGUGUUUGCUGAAUAUGUGAAUACAGUGAAUUCUUACCUGCAUUCCCACCAUCUGCAUCACUUGGCAGUGUUGGCUGUGGACUGGCUGUGCUGCUUCUCUGGCGUACUGUAAAAAUAUGAAGAAUUACCUUAUGGACAUACUUUUAUUUAACAAUGUUUUCUGUAAAUCCUUCUUGUGAUGUAAACAUCUGGAACCUGAUGAUAAUAAGUAAACUAAAC